Molecule: ribosomal RNA, 487 nt
Filed under: uncultured bacterium
Lineage: Bacteria
Description: bacterial SSU rRNA
Rfam family: Bacterial small subunit ribosomal RNA
Source: RNAcentral
GAUGAACGCUAGCGGGAGGCUUAAUACAUGCAAGUCGAGCGGCAAGUUUUGAUAGCAAUAUUGGAACCUAGAGCGGCGCACGGGUGAGUAACGCGUACAUCGACCUGCCCUAUACUGGGGGAUAGUCUUGGGAAACUGAGAAUAAUCCCGCAUGUGAUUAGAAUGCUGCAUGGCAAAUUAAUUAAAGCUGAGGCGGUAUAGGAUGGGUGUGCGUCUGAUUAGCUAGUUGGUAGUGUAACGGACUACCAAGGCGAUGAUCAGUAGGGGGCGUGAGAGCGUGACCCCCCACACGGGUACUGAGACACGGACCCGACUCCUACGGGAGGCAGCAGUAAGGAAUAUUGGUCAAUGGAGGGAACUCUGAACCAGCCAUCCCGCGUGAAGGAUGAAGGGGCUCUGCCUUGUAAACUUCUUUUGCAUGGGACGAAAAAACUUAAUUUAUUAAGGACUGACGGUACCAUGAGAAUAAGCACCGGCUAACUCCGUG